AUACUUACCUGGCAGGGGAAAUACCAUGAUCACGAAGGUGGUUUUCCCAGGGCGAGGCUUAUCCAUUGCACUCCGGAUGUGCUGGCCCCUGCGAUUUCCCCAAAUGUGGGAAACUCGUCUGCAUAAUUUAUGGUAGUGGGGGACUGCGUUCCUGCUCUCCCCUG
Molecule: small nuclear RNA, 164 nt
Organism: Molossus molossus (Pallas's mastiff bat)
Lineage: Eukaryota; Metazoa; Chordata; Mammalia; Chiroptera; Molossidae
Product: U1 spliceosomal RNA
Exons: 1
Source: RefSeq, a predicted model, not a curated record